UGUUAAGCUUCCAUACUGCUGGUUUU
Molecule: non-coding RNA, 26 nt
Filed under: Mus musculus (house mouse)
Lineage: Eukaryota; Metazoa; Chordata; Mammalia; Rodentia; Muridae
Source: RNAcentral